GGGGCGGUGGCCAGGCGGUUGCCCUGACAACGGGGAACCGACCGACUCUUCCCGGUAUUCUAAUCACAGAAUUACUGGAGCAUCAAGAAGUGCCUGCAUGCUUGGAAGGGCUUCCAGGCAGAUGAACACACCUCAGCACCGGGUGGCAUUUUCCCAGGGUGCAACCCGGACCGGCUCUGGGUCACACUGACAAGGACAACAGGGUUAACAAUUUCCAGAGACAGCCCGUACAUAGAAGGAAUGUUUACUGAAAAAAAUGAAGAGGGGUCAGGGCAAGGCGAGGAGCAAGAAGCACCCCCAAGGAAACAGAGAAGACCAGUACAACUGUACCUCUUUGCCAGCUGCACCAUCCGUACCAGGUGGCACGUUCCAGAGCCAUAGCCUCUGUUCUAUUCAUCUCCAGUCUCCUGGGGUGGAAGUGUCCAGCACAGAGACUGCCACACUGCAAGACGAAGGGGCUGGACACACGGAAGAGAGAGGCGGAACCCUGCACCCCCUCAACCUCAGCCCUACUGAGUCUCCAAUGGGGCCACGCUUCUGAGUGCACCUCCCCGUGUCAUCUGUAAUGUGAGGGGGAACCAGGCUUGAUAUGGCAUUCCCAAUCCAGGGC
Molecule: long non-coding RNA, 610 nt
Organism: Homo sapiens (human)
Lineage: Eukaryota; Metazoa; Chordata; Mammalia; Primates; Hominidae
Gene: PEF1-AS1
Product: PEF1 and COL16A1 antisense RNA 1
Source: Ensembl